CCCAAACAGCUGCAGGAGGGAAAGCAGCUGAGUUUGGAGGAAGAGUUUUCUGCUGAGGUUUCCUGUUUGGAGCUGUCACAAGCUUGAGCUGCUCAAGGGAAACGCGGCUCUGCUUCCAGCAGGGCCCAACUGCCCGGGAGCACAACUUGGUUCCCUGGCCCUGAGCCAACGGCAGCAGCAGCUUCUGUUCCCUCCUGGCUCUUGUGUCAUUUCCAGCAGCACAAGACACACCAAGAAAAGCUCCUCCAGAACAUGCCAUGAGAAACACAACCUGAUUUCAUUGAAUGAAGGAGCUCUGACAGUCCCACGGGCUCAGGUUUGUUUGUCAGUGAACAGAGCAGGGAAAAGCACAGACACAUUCCCUGCACAGGGAAUUCACAGGAGGAAAGUGCAGGGCUGGAGGAUGUGCUUGGAUACAACGUUCCCACAGCAGUUUUGGGGAUAAAAUCGUCAGUGGAGUGAAAAGAAAAAGUCCUAUCAAGGAUUUUGUGGGGAGGGCUGGUGCUUCCCGGGAGGCUCCCGAAGCUCAACAGUGUGAAAGAGUGGCUAGCUAACAAAGGUCGUGUUCCCAUGCAGCAAUUAGCUGAGAAAGAAUUAAACAACAGUGGAGUGUAGUUGGUAUGAGAUGUUGCAAUGUCAGAAAGACCUUAGUGAUAACUGUGAACUGAGAACAGGACACUGUGAUCAGAAGAAUGUGGAUUCAGCACAGAUGAAUGACCACAAGAAUGUGGAACUAGGGAGUUUGGAGUUGCCAAUAAAUGAGACUUGCUGAUCAUUCAUAUUGAGUGCUGCUUGUCUCCCGCCGAACUCAUCAAAUGGCGCCCGAACAAAUGGGACCCUUGGGACCUUUGGGACCUUUGGGACAUUAAAAAGCGAAGGCCACGGGAGUCGGCGACAGGGGACGGGUCCUCCGCAGCAAGGACGGCGAAAAGCAACGGUGCCGCGCCCCAGGCGACCUCAGAGGAGAGUCCUGGCCGUAACGUGCUGCCAAACCUUGUAGGGCUGCAACAGCGCUGACGGUAAGAUGGAAAGGCAAGCAGCACAUGAUUUAUUUACCUGCUUUUUAGAAAAGCCACAGCUUAAGGGUUUUGAUUUGUGCAAGGAGCUCCCUGGACUUCUUGCUUAUGGGUAUGCUCAUUCCUUUGCCUCCCACUGCUGGGCAAACACUCCUAUCUAUGCUGCCCAUGGAAAGAGGGAGGGAGAGU
Molecule: non-coding RNA, 1205 nt
Organism: Cyanistes caeruleus (blue tit)
Lineage: Eukaryota; Metazoa; Chordata; Aves; Passeriformes; Paridae
Source: RefSeq, a predicted model, not a curated record